GCCCCCGUAGCCCAAUCGGCAGAGGCAGUCGACUUAAAAUCGAUUCAGUAUGGGUUCGAGUCCCAUCGGGGGUA
RNAcentral lists this transfer RNA (74 nucleotides) under Flaviflexus sp. RNAcentral's name for it is "tRNA-Leu". It matches the Rfam family "tRNA". From Rfam's summary of the family: Transfer RNA (tRNA) molecules are approximately 80 nucleotides in length. The record is from RNAcentral. RNAcentral also lists the same sequence under 1 other name. Lineage: Bacteria; Bacillati; Actinomycetota; Actinomycetes; Actinomycetales; Actinomycetaceae.